GCCGCGAUAGCUCAGCUGGGAGAGCGCUGCACUGAAGUUUCUGACGCAAUGCAUAGGUCACCUGUUCAAUCCAGGUUCGUGGCA
This is a non-coding RNA of Clavulina sp. PMI_390, 84 nucleotides long. The record is from the annotation of a GenBank genome assembly. Lineage: Eukaryota; Fungi; Basidiomycota; Agaricomycetes; Cantharellales; Hydnaceae.